Molecule: ribosomal RNA, 254 nt
Filed under: uncultured microorganism
Description: partial 16S ribosomal RNA
Rfam family: Archaeal small subunit ribosomal RNA
Source: RNAcentral
CACCGGCGGCUCGAGUGGUGGCCACUUUUAUUGGGUCUAAAACGUCCGUAGCCGGCUUGGCAAGUCCCCUGGGAAAUCUGGCGGCUUAACCGUCAGGCGUCCAGAGGAUACUGCCAGGCUUGGGACCGGGAGAGGUGAGAGGUACCUCAGGGGUAGGGGUGAAAUCUUGUGAUCCCUGAGGGACCACCAGUGGCGAAGGCGUCUCACUAGAACGGGUCCGACGGUCAGGGACGAAAGCUGGGGGCACGAACCGG